RNAcentral lists this ribosomal RNA (232 nucleotides) under uncultured bacterium. Its description in RNAcentral is "partial 16S ribosomal RNA". It matches the Rfam family "Bacterial small subunit ribosomal RNA", at positions 99 to 334 of the family's 1533-position model. The record is from RNAcentral.
CGGACGGGUGAGUAAUGUCUGGGAAACUGCCUGAUGGAGGGGGGUAACUAUUGGAAACGGUAGCUAAUACCGCAUAACGUCGCAAGACCAAAGAGGGGGACCUUCGGGCCUCUUGCCAUCGGAUGUGCCCAGAUGGGAUUAGCUAGUAGGUGGGGUAAAGGCUCACCUAGGCGACGAUCCCUAGCUGGUCUGAGAGGAUGACCAGCCACACUGGAACUGAGACACGGUCCAG